Molecule: ribosomal RNA, 960 nt
Filed under: uncultured bacterium
Lineage: Bacteria
Description: bacterial SSU rRNA
Rfam family: Bacterial small subunit ribosomal RNA
Source: RNAcentral
CUGAAAGCCUGGUGCUUGCACCGGGUGGAUGAGUGGCGAACGGGUGAGUAACACGUGAGUAACCUGCCCCUGACUUCGGGAUAAGCCCGGGAAACUGGGUCUAAUACCGGAUACGACUGCCGGACGCAUGUCUGGUGGUGGAAAGUUUUUUCGGUUGGGGAUGGGCUCGCGGCCUAUCAGUUUGUUGGUGAGGUAAUGGCUCACCAAGACGACGACGGGUAGCCGGCCUGAGAGGGCGACCGGCCACACUGGGACUGAGACACGGCCCAGACUCCUACGGGAGGCAGCAGUGGGGAAUAUUGCACAAUGGGGGAAACCCUGAUGCAGCGACGCAGCGUGCGGGAUGACGGCCUUCGGGUUGUAAACCGCUUUCAGCAGGGAAGAAGCGCAAGUGACGGUACCUGCAGAAGAAGUACCGGCUAACUACGUGCCAGCAGCCGCGGUAAUACGUAGGGUACGAGCGUUGUCCGGAAUUAUUGGGCGUAAAGAGCUCGUAGGUGGUUGGUCACGUCUGCUGUGGAAACGCAACGCUUAACGUUGCGCGUGCAGUGGGUACGGGCUGACUAGAGUGCAGUAGGGGAGUCUGGAAUUCCUGGUGUAGCGGUGAAAUGCGCAGAUAUCAGGAGGAACACCGGUGGCGAAGGCGGGACUCUGGGCUGUAACUGACACUGAGGAGCGAAAGCAUGGGGAGCGAACAGGAUUAGAUACCCUGGUAGUCCAUGCCGUAAACGUUGGGCACUAGGUGUGGGGGGCAUUCCACGUUCUCCGCGCCGUAGCUAACGCAUUAAGUGCCCCGCCUGGGGAGUACGGUCGCAAGGCUAAAACUCAAAGGAAUUGACGGGGGCCCGCACAAGCGGCGGAGCAUGCGGAUUAAUUCGAUGCAACGCGAAGAACCUUACCAAGGCUUGACAUACACCGGACCGUCCUGGAAACAGGUCCUCUUCUUUGAAGCUGGUGUAC